GAAACAGAAUAUCAUAAUAGUAGCAGAACAAACAUGUAUCAGAACAGAAUAUGUUCUUGAAAGAGACAAGAAAACAAAUGCUUGAUAUCGUCAACAAUGUCACAAAGAAUAAAAGGUUUCAGAGCUGGACUAAGAACUUUAAGGACAUGAAAGUCAGUUCCUGCUUACCCUGCUAACAUAGAAUACCAGUGAUUUCCCAUACUACUGUUAAAAUGAAAGACGAGAAAGAAGAAAACAGAACACGUUGGCUGAAAGAAUAAAGGCCAGUUCAACUUCAAU
This 279-nucleotide long non-coding RNA is filed under the name Populus trichocarpa (black cottonwood). RNAcentral's name for it is "long non-coding RNA (PTRI_LNC001583)". Lineage: Eukaryota; Viridiplantae; Streptophyta; Magnoliopsida; Malpighiales; Salicaceae. The record is from RNAcentral.